CUGUCUACAAGCUCGGGACACUAAUGCAGGAUGCUUCAUAUUUCGAGGAUACUAUCAUCAUUUUCUCGGUAUGAACGCUCAAUGGAGGCAAAUGGGGAUCUUGGCAGCCCAUUAUUGCGGCGGAAAGUGAUGUGUCACACAGAUACUGCAGAUGAUCUUGUAGACUAUAGAGUGUAAGGCUAAAGUCAGCCCAUAGUAGCUUGGCAUACUGACCUGUAUAGCGACAAUAUCUCUGAUGAUGAAGAGGAAGAAAUUAUCAUGAUGCUCGAUAAUGCAAACAUAAUAGCUGUGGAAGAUGAGAUACCUUCUCUAUUUUUUGAUGGUGGAAACAAGUUGUUACCAAAAUGUACAAUUCUUUUGGGAAGGUUUAAAGGAAAAUGUUUGCUGUUUUCAGUACCUGGUGUGGAAUGCAAAAUAAAAGUAA
Long non-coding RNA from Penaeus vannamei (Pacific white shrimp), 424 nucleotides. RefSeq lists it as uncharacterized. NCBI's taxonomy places the organism in Eukaryota, Metazoa, Arthropoda, Malacostraca, Decapoda, Penaeidae. The record is from RefSeq and is a predicted model, not a curated record.